RNAcentral lists this transfer RNA (75 nucleotides) under Rhodovibrio salinarum. RNAcentral's name for it is "tRNA-Val". It matches the Rfam family "tRNA". Rfam says of the family: Transfer RNA (tRNA) molecules are approximately 80 nucleotides in length. RNAcentral also lists the same sequence under 2 other names. The record is from RNAcentral. Lineage: Bacteria; Pseudomonadati; Pseudomonadota; Alphaproteobacteria; Rhodospirillales; Rhodovibrionaceae.
GGGCGUGUAGCUCAGCGGGAGAGCGCCUCGUUGACAUCGAGGAGGUCCCAGGUUCAAUCCCUGGCACGCCCACCA